UGCCUGUGGAAAAUCAACAGCACCAGGCACCACAGCCCCUACGGACAUGAAAGAGACAGACUGAGUGGACCUGUGUUGGGAUAUUCCUUCCACCCGACCCGCGGAUGGUGUCGAGGAGUUAAGGUUCAGAAAUAUCAGAAGUUGGCUUUGUUUUAGCGCACAUUUCUGCUGAAGAGCCUACAUGCCAUCUAAAAAGCUGAAGUUGAAC
This is a long non-coding RNA of Alosa sapidissima (American shad), 208 nucleotides long. RefSeq lists it as uncharacterized. The transcript is spliced from 3 exons. Lineage: Eukaryota; Metazoa; Chordata; Actinopteri; Clupeiformes; Clupeidae. The record is from RefSeq and is a predicted model, not a curated record.